UUGAUUUGAAUACGUUAAUGGUGAUCUUUUGCAUUUGUCUUUCUCGUCAGACAUACAGUACUUACUUUUGUGCCCUGAAAUUUGGGUCGAGGAAUUCUGUGAUCACCCUGUUGGCCCACCAGGAUGCACUUCAUGCCAAUGAGAGUGAGAACGCCACCAAAGAAGCCAGUGAUGACCGCGGAGACUGCCAAUGCCCUACAUCCAUGCAGGAACGCUGCAAAGACACAUAUGAUGACUUCCAAGAACAUGUCCUUAUCUUACCAGGCAGGGCCAGCAUGGAAGGGUAAUCUUUGCAGUCGGACACCCCUGUGGUGUCUGAGAUGCAGUCCCUCCACAGGUUGGAGUAGUAGUUGGAGGUGGUCAGGACAAUGCUGCCCACCUCAGAGAAGGUCCAGUACUCUGUGGGAAGGGUAGAGCACACCAGGAUCCAGCCGCAAAGGCAGGACACAAAGCAGCCAAUUUCUGUGUACAUCACCACCGUCCUGUACUUCAUGUUUUGCCCAGUCAGCAUCAUUUGCUUUCCCAGAGCUCAGGUCCCCGAAUGAUGGCUACUUAAGUCAUCUUUUGUUUGUCUGCAUGUGGGACUUGUGAGACAAACUGGACUAACCAGACUAAAGUUGCUGCUGUCAUGGUUUGUAAAGUUAAACACCCACUUCUGAGUUGCGCAUCCAUUUUCUCAGGUGAGCUGUGGCCUACCCUAACUAACUAAAUUAUUUAAAAAGCAAGCCAAGUCAUUUUUGUUUGUAAUCAUUUCUUGUAUUCAUCUCCACUACAUGGUAUUCAAUCUAAUAUUGUGUUUUUCUACUGGGAGCAAAAUAAAGUUCAGUGUCUUGCUCAACGACACUUUGACAUGAUCACCGGGCUUGGGGAUUGAACCCACAACCUUCAAGAUUGGAGACUGAUUUAUUUAAUUUAUUUAAUUUUUAUUCGCCUAGUAACAAGAAACAUUUACAAUGGGCAGUUUGUUGAACUUAUGUCGUCAUUAAAGCAAGACCUUUGAUUUUUCCUACACUCACAAAAAACAAAAAUUUGCACAUCUAUUAUAAUUUGCUGCUUAAAUUCAAAGCUAUGAAUUGUUAUCAAGCUGUAAAUUGUUAGAACUACAUUUGGUUAAAAACACAAUGUUUACAUCAGUUGCCAUACAACAACUUAUAAAACUACUACAAAAUAUAGACAUGUAUUCAAACAUAUUUUAUUUUAAUCACAGGAUAUUCUCCUCGCAUCUCGGGUGAAGGAAAACCCCACUGCCAGUUCAGCAACUUUGCCGGUAGGGGGCACUGCCGCAAUUCAUCACCGCAAAUCUGCUCCGUUUUCUGGGCAACGAAUAAAAUGCUCGCUGGGUUAGAGCAGGUGUUGUCAACCGGUCCAGGAAUGCCUUGUAUGAUUUGUUUGUUGAAAUAAUGCAUGCAGUGUACACAAGUAGGAGUCAAAUUUUGUGAAACAGCCCGAUAAGUACUUGGAUAUUAUACGUGCUAACACUGACAAUUGUUUUUUUUACUCCAGGCCACGAACCAAGAGAGAUUCCUGCACUGAAGGCGCCUCCUCAUAACAUAAUGUUUUUAGGUAAGGGGGAGAAAAAUCAAAUGUUCUUUGACAAGUGGUGGAUUUUCAUCUCCUGAAAUUGGUGUAAUUUAGUUUGCUUGCAUUCUAUAAACUUCUACAAACUUUGUCAUACAAGUCUUAACCUGGUUUUAAUUGCCUAGUCUUUGUCUUGACUGGGGGACUCAACUUGUCAUGGCUUGGUAUUGACGUCUUGGUCAAAGGGUCUUGACUGCAACAUAGCUGGGUACAUUUACUCCAUUAAAAAAUACAAACAUGUCGUAAACAGCGUUCCAGCCUUAAGAACAGCGCCACACUGGUCUUCUGAAGUCAUUAAUGCAAGUCUGUGUCACUCAAAUGUAGGAGUUCUUUAGGAAAGCCGCUGUCUGACUCCUCGAGCCGCCGGACAAUGAUGACAUACGACUGCUGCGGAUGCUACGUGACCCGGACAGUGCUGAUGCACUGGAUCUGGACAAGCGGCCAGACUCUGAAGCUGACACUGAACUGGCAGAAGUGUUUGUUCGCAUCGUGCUUGACCCGCGCUCUGAUUGGACUGAACUUCCAGAUGUCAAUCCCGAAGAGAUGGCGGACAAGUUGGAAGGCACGGAUGACAGCUCGGAUACAGAGGAUGCUUUGGACUUGGAGGUGAUUCCAGAUACCGAGGACAGCUCUGUGGUGGACUUGGUUUUGGGGUCUUUUUCCACAUCUGGUAAUUUUCGGACAAUCACCCUGCAUAGAAAGAGAGGCACAGUUUCUCUGUCACUCUCCGUCUCUCUCUUUCUGUUAAUAAUUUCUUGACACGCAAAAGCAAAUGAAAAUGAUGUGUUGUAUUGGUAUAGUGUUGUUGAUUCUUGACUCACGUUUGUACUUGUCCAAAUAGUGGCCUGCACACGGACCACAAAUAGAAAACACCUCCGGCCAUUUGAAAGGCGGAGCCAACCCAACCGAGGAACAGCGGGGUGCCGAGGUCAAACCUAAGAUCAUUUAGGAAUGGGAUCAGUGUAAAGUCAGUCUGCUCAGUAUUUAAGAUUUUACUGACCUAAGUCCAAUAAAGUUUGGGUUGAAGUAUU
Molecule: long non-coding RNA, 2609 nt
Organism: Syngnathus acus (greater pipefish)
Lineage: Eukaryota; Metazoa; Chordata; Actinopteri; Syngnathiformes; Syngnathidae
Exons: 4
Source: RefSeq, a predicted model, not a curated record